GACGUACGCUGGCGGCGUGCUUAACACAUGCAAGUCGAACGGAAAGGCCUCUUUCGGGGGGUACUCGAGUGGCGAACGGGUGAGUAACACGUGAGUAACCUGCCCUUGACUUUGGGAUAACUUCAGGAAACUGGGGCUAAUACCGGAUAGGAGCUCCUGCUGCCUGGUGGGGGUUGGAAAGUUUCGGCGGUUGGGGAUGGACUCGCGGCUUAUCAGCUUGUUGGUGGGGUAGUGGCUUACCAAGGCUUUGACGGGUAGCCGGCCUGAGAGGGUGAACGGCCACAUUGGGACUGAGAUACAGCCCAGACUCCGACGGGAGGCAGCAGUGGGGAAUAUUGCACAAUGGGUGGAAGCCUGAUGCAGCAACGCCGUGUGCGGGAUGACGGCCUUCGGGUUGUAAACCGAUUUCGCUCAUGACGAAGCUUUGUGUGACGGUAGUGGGUAAAGAAGCACCGGCUAACUACGUG
This 467-nucleotide ribosomal RNA is filed under the name uncultured bacterium. RNAcentral's name for it is "partial 16S ribosomal RNA". It matches the Rfam family "Bacterial small subunit ribosomal RNA", at positions 28 to 507 of the family's 1533-position model. The record is from RNAcentral.